GUUCACUGUAGACCUGCUGACUCAGCUGCCACCAUGUUCCUGAUGGACGUUUGAUUUUACUUCCUGCAGCAGGAUAAAGGUUCAAGAAGAUGGAAUGGACAUUAGACCAGUGGAAGAUGAACUAAUGAUGCCGGCAUGUGUGGUUCCUACUGUGGAGCAUGGAGUAGGAGACACUCAACGAAAUAGGGAUCCAGGAAACGUGACUUGAGACGUCCUGUGCUCGAGUCACUGACUGGUUUCUGAUAAAGGGACGUGUCGCCCCAUCAGAGACUUGAGGGGAUUCACCAGCAGCAGUGUCACGGCGACUUGAAGGACGAAGCAAAACGAAGACGAGGCUGUGAUGGGGAAGUUAAUUUACUCUGAUUCUAAUGUGGUCCACACACUACAUGCCCAUAAAUGAGUGCAGUUAAUGAUAAUAAGUCAUAAUGAAUAACAUCUGACAAGAAGAAUUUCCUCUCUCAGAAACAGAAACGUCGUUGGAGAAGUUCAGCUGUAGUUUAUUCUGAGCCACAUGCUGUACACCUUCCUACUCAUUAGAAACAAAUGUGAAUUCAUCCGCCACAGAAAAUAGUCCCCAACAAAUAACCUUCUUCCUGUUUGUGUACCAUUUGAACCCCAUUAGGCCACAUUUCCCCAGGACUAGUGAGGAUUUGACCAAAAUGCGAUGCCAAAACACAGCACCAUAAAAAAAAAAACUGUAAAGCAGUAGAAAACUUUUGUGGGGAAAAUGUUUGUGCUUACACCCGUGCAAACAUCGCUACGGAUUUAAAUGUUUAAGAGCUGUUCCAAACUCUACACAAAUCAUGGAAACACAAGGGUCAGGCAAGUGUUUCUGUACGUUAGCGGUGGCUGCCCUGCAUCAUGGUAGGUGCCAUACACCGCUCAGCCAACAGGGGGCAGGAGUCGCUGGCCAUUGGUCCUGAUCAGGUCAUGUGAUUUAUCCUCUAGAAACUAAAAUAGCCACUGAAGAGGAGUGCAUCAUUUUGCUUCUGCUGAAUCGUCGCCGGUAGAAGAAGAAAAGCAUUUGCUAAAGAUGCUGGUGAACAUGAACAGCUUCACACAGCCCUCUGUUUUUUUUUUAUUUAUUUAUUUAUUUGACACUGUAAACAGCU
This is a long non-coding RNA of Monopterus albus (swamp eel), 1112 nucleotides long. RefSeq lists it as uncharacterized. The record is from RefSeq and is a predicted model, not a curated record. Lineage: Eukaryota; Metazoa; Chordata; Actinopteri; Synbranchiformes; Synbranchidae. The transcript is spliced from 4 exons.